CCUACGGGUGUCAGCAGUAGGGAAUUUUGCGCAAUGGGCAAAAGCCUGACGCAGCAACACCGCGUGAAUGUUAAGCCCUUCGGGGUGUAAAGUUCUGUCAAUAGGGACGAAUUUUGACGGUACCUAUAAAGGAAGCACCGGCUAACUCCGUGCAAGCAGCCGCGGUAAUACGGGGGGUGCAAGCGUUGUCCGGAAACAUUGGGCGUAAAGCGUUCGUAGGUGGCAAGGUAAGUCUGAUGAUAAAGACCGGGGCUCAACUCCGGGUCGGCAUUGGAUACUGUCUAUCUAGAAUGUGGUAGUGGUAAAGGGAAUUGCUGGUGUAGCGGUGAAAUGCGUAGAUAUCAGGAGGAACAUCGGUGGCGAAAGCGCUUUACUGGACCAUUAUUGACGCUGAGGAACGAAAGCCAGGGGAGCAAAUGGGAUUAGAUACCCCUGUAGUC
This 440-nucleotide ribosomal RNA is filed under the name uncultured bacterium. RNAcentral describes it as "partial 16S ribosomal RNA". It matches the Rfam family "Bacterial small subunit ribosomal RNA", at positions 338 to 795 of the family's 1533-position model. The record is from RNAcentral.